UAUCUGAAAUCUAUUGGAGGGCAAGUCUGGUGCCAGCAGCCGCGGUAAUUCCAGCUCCAAUAGCGUAUCUUAAUGUUGUUGCAGUUAAAAAGCUCGUAGUCGAAUUUCUGGCCGGGACGCGUCGCUUAUAGCAGAUGUUGGCCCAGGUCAUCCGCCUGUGAUCAGUUGCUGUCCUUCACCGGUCACUUCUAGGAGCAGGCAUUUUACUUUGAAGAAAUUAAAGUGUUUCAGGCAGGCUUUCGCUUGAAUACACCAGCAUGGAAUAAUGGAAUAGGACUGGAUUCUUUUAUUGGUCAUCGAAUCUAGUAAUGAUUAAUAGGGACAGUUGGGGGCAUUCAUACUUGUAAGUCAGAGGUGAAAUUCUUCGAUUUUACAAAGAUGAACUAAUGCGAAGGCAUUUGCCAAGGAUGUUUUCAUUGAUCAAGAACGAAAGACAGGGGAUCCAAAACGAUUAGAUACCGUUGUAGUCCUGUCCGUAAACUAUGCCGACUGGGGAUUGGUAAAAUAAUAAUUUUAUCAGCAUCCAAUGAGAAAUCAAAGUCUUUGGGUUCUGGGGGGAGUAUGGUCGCAAGGCUGAAACUUAAAGGAAUUGACGGAAGGGCACCACCAGGAGUGGAGNCUGCGGCUUAAUUUGAUUCAACACGGGAAAACUUACCAGGGCAAGACUUUUAUAGGAUUGACAGAUUGAGAGGCCUUUCUUGAUUGGAAGGGUGGUGGUGCAUGGCCGUUCUUAGUUGGUGGAGUGAUUUGUCAGGUUAAUUCCCUUAACGAACGAGACCUUAACCUGCUAAAUAGUAGCAGUUAACUACUAGCUGUUUACUUCUUAGAGGGACUAUUUCCAAAAGAAAUGGAAGUUUGAGGCAAUAACAGGUCCGUGAUGCCCUUAGAUGUCCUGGGCCGCACGCGUACUACACUGAUUGGCGCAACAAGAUUCACCUAAUCCGACAGGGGAAGGUAACCUUUAAAAUACCAAUCGUGCUAGGGAUUGAUCUUUGAAAUUGUGGAUCAUGAACGAGGAAUUCCUAGUAGGCACAAGUCAUUAUCUUGUGCCGAUUACGUCCCUGCCCUUUGUACACACCG
This 1080-nucleotide ribosomal RNA is filed under the name metagenome. RNAcentral's name for it is "bacterial SSU rRNA". It matches the Rfam family "Eukaryotic small subunit ribosomal RNA", at positions 534 to 1671 of the family's 1831-position model. The record is from RNAcentral.